GUCCCAGACUCCUACGGGAGGCAGCAGUGGGGAAUAUUGCACAAUGGGCGAAAGCCUGAUGCAGCAACGCCGCGUGAGUGAUGAAGGCCUUCGGGUCGUAAAACUCUGUCCUCAAGGAAGAUAAUGACGGUACCUGACUAAGAAGCCCCGGCUAACUACGUGCCAGCAGCCGCGGUAAUACGUAGGGGGCAAGCGUUAUCCGGAUUUACUGGGUGUAAAGGGAGCGUAGGUGGCGUGCCAAGUCAGGAGUGAAAACCCAGGGCCCAACCCUGGGACUGCUCUUGAAACUGGCAGGCUUGAGUGCUGGAGAGGUAAGCGGAAUUCCUAGUGUAGCGGUGAAAUGCGUAGAUAUUAGGAGGAACACCAGUGGCGAAGGCGGCUUACUGGACAGUGACUGACACUGAGGCUCGAAAGCGUGGGGAGCAAACAGGAUUAGAUACCCUAGUAAAG
RNAcentral lists this ribosomal RNA (450 nucleotides) under uncultured bacterium. RNAcentral's name for it is "bacterial SSU rRNA". It matches the Rfam family "Bacterial small subunit ribosomal RNA", at positions 328 to 793 of the family's 1533-position model. The record is from RNAcentral.